Molecule: transfer RNA, 72 nt
Filed under: Ictidomys tridecemlineatus (thirteen-lined ground squirrel)
Lineage: Eukaryota; Metazoa; Chordata; Mammalia; Rodentia; Sciuridae
Description: Spermophilus tridecemlineatus (thirteen-lined ground squirrel) tRNA
Rfam family: tRNA
About the family: Transfer RNA (tRNA) molecules are approximately 80 nucleotides in length. Their secondary structure includes four short double-helical elements and three loops (D, anti-codon, and T loops).
Source: Rfam by way of RNAcentral
GGGGAUGUAGCUCAGUGGUAAAGCACUUGCCUAGCAUGCAUGCGGCCCUGGGUUUGAUCCUCAGCACCACAA